UCGAGAAUCUUCCACAAUGGACGAAAGUCUGAUGGAGCGACGCCGCGUGAGUGAUGAAGGCCCUACGGGUUGUAAAACUCUGUCAGGAGAGAAGAAUCGCCGGGGUGCCAAUACCAUCCUGGUUUGACGUUAUCUCCAGAGGAAGCUCCGGCUAACUCCGUGCCAGCAGCCGCGGUAAUACGGGGGGAGCAAGCGUUGUCCGGAAUUAUUGGGCGUAAAGGGCGUGUAGGCGGCU
RNAcentral lists this ribosomal RNA (235 nucleotides) under uncultured bacterium. RNAcentral's name for it is "partial 16S ribosomal RNA". It matches the Rfam family "Bacterial small subunit ribosomal RNA", at positions 355 to 580 of the family's 1533-position model. The record is from RNAcentral.